Molecule: long non-coding RNA, 309 nt
Filed under: Oryza brachyantha (malo sina)
Lineage: Eukaryota; Viridiplantae; Streptophyta; Magnoliopsida; Poales; Poaceae
Description: long non-coding RNA (OBRA_LNC000282)
Source: RNAcentral
AACGGGUGGAACCAUCGGAUUCGGCUUCGAGGGGUGGGAAAGCGGAGCGCAGCGGCGCCAGCGGAGGAGGUGGGGGAAUCGAUUGGACUGCGACGGCCGCAGCCUUUCGUGUUGGCCGCGCCGGACGAAAGGAUUCGGCUUCGAGGGGUGAGAGAGAGAGAGAGAGAGAGAGAACUUUUCCUCCUUCCUCCUUGAUCUCUCUCCCUCUCCUCGUCGUCUUCUUUGUUGGGUUGUGGCGUCGCGGAGAGGAGAGGAGAGGAGAGGAGAGUAGGGAGUGAUCGAAUGAUGGGGGAGAAAUGGAGCUCUUUU